RNAcentral lists this ribosomal RNA (497 nucleotides) under uncultured bacterium. RNAcentral describes it as "partial 16S ribosomal RNA". It matches the Rfam family "Bacterial small subunit ribosomal RNA", at positions 28 to 507 of the family's 1533-position model. The record is from RNAcentral.
GAUGAACGCUGGCGGCGUGCCUAAUACAUGCAAGUCGAGCGAACAGACGAGGAGCUUGCUCCUCUGACGUUAGCGGCGGACGGGUGAGUAACACGUGGAUAACCUACCUAUAAGACUGGGAUAACUUCGGGAAACCGGAGCUAAUACCGGAUAAUAUAUUGAACCGCAUGGUUCAAUAGUGAAAGACGGUUUUGCUGUCACUUAUAGAUGGAUCCGCGCCGCAUUAGCUAGUUGGUAAGGUAACGGCUUACCAAGGCAACGAUGCGUAGCCGACCUGAGAGCGUGAUCGGCCACACUGGAACUGAGACACGGUCCAGACACCUACGGGAGGCAGCAGUAGGGAAUCUUCCGCAAUGGGCGAAAGCUUGACGGAGCAACGCCGCGUGAGUGAUGAAGGUCUUCGGAUCGUAAAACUCUGUUAUUAGGGAAGAACAAAUGUGUAAGUAACUAUGCACGUCUUGACGGUACCUAAUCAGAAAGCCACGGCUAACUACGUG